AUAAAAAGUAGCAUUUGCUCCGAACAAGUUUACUCUACUCGAUUUUGAGCAAAGUAAACUCUUGUAGCAUUUGCUCAACUUGAUAUGAAUAAAAGCUUACUUUACUCAGUUUGGACUGUAGCAAGUUCGAAAUUCGAACAAAGCUUUUACUCCGUCAUUAAUCUGUCAAACUGGUGGCUCAAAUACAGAAAUACAGUCGCAGUGCAAUUGAAAUGGCUUCUGAUUUCUGUUGAGUUCUACGAUGGACACGAAUCAAAUGAGGGUAACAAGGUUAAACUUUAGCUGCCGUAUGAUGGACCCGUUCAUACAUCCGUAUUUACAACACGUUAAUGCGGAUUUCGUUUGCGGUGCUUCGUGGAAUAUAACUGUCUCGAAUAGGAAAAUACCCUUAUGAAAGAUGUUGAGGUUCAACUCAACUCGUCAAGGACGAUAAACAUUUAUAUUCAAAACAGUUUUGAGGAAAAAGAUCUAUUAGCAAGAGGAGAAAGCUCCAGCCAAUGAUGAUACGGCUGCAAAAGCUACACCAAAUAUUCAAACAGCAAAACGGAAUGCACAGCGUCGAGUUCACAGCAAUGUAACUAAAUCACCAAAUUUUGAAAAUAUCGUGGAGGAACUAUUUUUUCUGCAGGAAGUAACGCAAAUUAGUUUUUUCUAAGA
Long non-coding RNA from Topomyia yanbarensis, 657 nucleotides. RefSeq lists it as uncharacterized. The transcript is spliced from 3 exons. Lineage: Eukaryota; Metazoa; Arthropoda; Insecta; Diptera; Culicidae. The record is from RefSeq and is a predicted model, not a curated record.